GGCGAACAACAUUGGAGGCAAAGUUCCGAGGACCAGCACCAGACAACCCACCCCUUCGGAGCCCCCGAGGAUCACGCAGCCGCUCAGUAAUCUGACGCUGUUGGCGGAAGAGCUCAUCGAUCUCUCGCUGGAGCUCUUCCUCAGUCUUGUCAAUAGCGGUGGUGGUACCCAUAUCGGGUGCGGUUGCGGUUAGUUGCUCCAAGAAUUUGCGCGACCUCAACAAUACAGAGACCAGAAGCUACGUCUGUGACUGUAAGAGUUGUUGGGUGUGGUCGUGUUG
RNAcentral lists this unclassified non-coding RNA (280 nucleotides) under Hevea brasiliensis (rubber tree). Lineage: Eukaryota; Viridiplantae; Streptophyta; Magnoliopsida; Malpighiales; Euphorbiaceae. The record is from RNAcentral.